RNAcentral lists this ribosomal RNA (407 nucleotides) under uncultured bacterium. RNAcentral's name for it is "partial 16S ribosomal RNA". It matches the Rfam family "Bacterial small subunit ribosomal RNA", at positions 30 to 526 of the family's 1533-position model. The record is from RNAcentral.
AUUGAACGCUGGCGGCAGGCCUAACACAUGCAAGUCGAGCGGCGCCGCGGACGGGUGAGUAAUGACUAGGAAUCUGCCUGGUAGUGGGGGAUAACGUCCGGUAACGGGCGCUAAUACCGCAUACUAUCAGAUGAGACUAGGUCGGAUUAGCUAGUUGGUGGGGUAAAGGCCUACCAAGGCGACGAUCCGUAACUGGUCUGAGAGUAUGAUCAGUCACACUUGAACUGAGACAUGGUCAAGACUCCUACGGGAGGCAGCAGUGGGGAAUAUUGGACAAUGGGCGAAAACCUGAUCCAGCCAGGCCGCGUGUGUGAAGAAGGUCUUCGGAUUGUAAAGCACUUUAAGUUGGGAGGCGUUACCAACAGAAUAAGCACCGGCUAACUUCGUGCCAGCAGCCGCGGUAAUUC